UGGCGGCAGUAGCGCGGUGGUCCCACCUGACCCCAUGCCGAACUCAGAAGUGAAACGCCGUAGCGCCGAUGGUAGUGUGGGGUCUCCCCAUGCGAGAGUAGGGAAC
This 106-nucleotide ribosomal RNA is filed under the name Escherichia coli 2-210-07_S3_C3. The record is from RNAcentral. Lineage: Bacteria; Pseudomonadati; Pseudomonadota; Gammaproteobacteria; Enterobacterales; Enterobacteriaceae. RNAcentral also lists the same sequence under 2 other names.